UACGUAGGGGGCUAGCGUUGUCCGGAAUCACUGGGCGUAAAGGGCGCGUAGGCGGCUCAUGAAGGCUGUGGUGAAAGUCCAGGGCUCAACCUCGGAUCGGCCGUGGCGACUCGUGGGCUGGAGCACUGUAGAGGCGGGUGGAAUUCCGGGUGUAGCGGUGGAAUGCGUAGAGAUCCGGAAGAACACCAGUGGCGAAGGCGGCCCGCUGGGCAGUGGCUGACGCUGAGGCGCGACAGCGUGGGGAGCAAACAGG
Molecule: ribosomal RNA, 253 nt
Filed under: uncultured bacterium
Lineage: Bacteria
Description: partial 16S ribosomal RNA
Rfam family: Bacterial small subunit ribosomal RNA
Source: RNAcentral